This 568-nucleotide long non-coding RNA is filed under the name Homo sapiens (human). RNAcentral describes it as "non-protein coding lnc-DUSP27-1:1". Lineage: Eukaryota; Metazoa; Chordata; Mammalia; Primates; Hominidae. The record is from RNAcentral.
GGGUUCCUCUCCAUCCUAAAAUGUUAGGCUUCUAAUAAUUGUAAUUAAACCUGUUUGUAGAUGUUGGUGGAUAGACAAUCAAAAUCUUAAAACUUAAAUCUGGCCACUUUCCUUCUUUGAACCAUAUGGCACAACAUGCAAAGUUCAAGUGUUAGACAUUGCCCUCUUAAUAUUUCUAUCAACCUGCUGGUUCCUUUCAUUAUAGUGUUUAGGUAACUAGCAGUCAAGAGGGAAAGACAGUAUUAUGGAAGAUUGAUUUCAGUGUUGCUAAUGACUAAAGACCUUGGGUUGAGCAUUUCAUGAAACCCAGUUGAAUAUGGACCUAGUAACACGUAGGAACAAGGAGAGAAAAGAAAAAGAGAUAAUGUGAAAUCUAUGCAGAAUUUUAAUGCUUUGCAUAACCAGUUUUAAUUACCGUAAAAUUUUCUCUUCGUGCCCCUCUCUCUUGACUGCAGCAUUUUCUCUCUGAGCUUGUGUGUUAGUUGAUGGGAGUUGCUAGAUUUACCGUUCUGUAAAAUAUUAGGUGGAAAGUUCUGUGGAUCAAGUGAUCAUUCUCUGAGAUGGUAUA